Molecule: ribosomal RNA, 703 nt
Filed under: uncultured Bacilli bacterium
Lineage: Bacteria; Bacillati; Bacillota; Bacilli
Description: bacterial SSU rRNA
Rfam family: Bacterial small subunit ribosomal RNA
Source: RNAcentral
AGUCGAACGCUUCUUUUUCCACCGGAGCUUGCUCCACCGGAAAAAGAGGAGUGGCGAACGGGUGAGUAACACGUGGGUAACCUGCCCAUCAGAAGGGGAUAACACUUGGAAACAGGUGCUAAUACCGUAUAACAAUCAAAACCGCAUGGUUUUGAUUUGAAAGGCGCUUUCGGGUGUCGCUGAUGGAUGGACCCGCGGUGCAUUAGCUAGUUGGUGAGGUAACGGCUCACCAAGGCCACGAUGCAUAGCCGACCUGAGAGGGUGAUCGGCCACAUUGGGACUGAGACACGGCCCAAACUCCUACGGGAGGCAGCAGUAGGGAAUCUUCGGCAAUGGACGAAAGUCUGACCGAGCAACGCCGCGUGAGUGAAGAAGGUUUUCGGAUCGUAAAACUCUGUUGUUAGAGAAGAACAAGGAUGAGAGUAACUGUUCAUCCCUUGACGGUAUCUAACCAGAAAGCCACGGCUAACUACGUGCCAGCAGCCGCGGUAAUACGUAGGUGGCAAGCGUUGUCCGGAUUUAUUGGGCGUAAAGCGAGCGCAGGCGGUUUCUUAAGUCUGAUGUGAAAGCCCCCGGCUCAACCGGGGAGGGUCAUUGGAAACUGGGAGACUUGAGUGCAGAAGAGGAGAGUGGAAUUCCAUGUGUAGCGGUGAAAUGCGUAGAUAUAUGGAGGAACACCAGUGGCGAAGGCGGCUCUCUGGUC